UACGGAAGGCAGCAGUGGGGAAUAUUGCACAAUGGGCGCAAGCCUGAUGCAGCCAUGCCGCGUGUAUGAAAAAGGCCUUCGGGUUGUAAAGUACUUUCAGUCGUGAGGAAGGUGUUAAGGUUAAUAACCUUAGCAAUUGACGUUAGCGACAGAAGAAGCACCGGCUAACUCCGUGCCAGCAGCCGCGGUAAUACGGAGGGUGCGAGCGUUAAUCGGAAUUACUGGGCGUAAAGGGCACGCAGGCGGUUAAUUAAGUUGGAUGUGAAAUCCCCGGGCUUAACCUGGGAAUGGCAUUCAAGCUGGUUAGCUAGAGUCUUGUAGAGGGGGUAGAAUUCCAUGUGUAGCGGUGAAAUGCGUAGAGAUGUGGAGGAAUACCGGUGGCGAAGGCGGCCCCUGGACAAAGACUGACGCUCAUGUGCGAAAGCGUGGGGAGCAAAC
This 438-nucleotide ribosomal RNA is filed under the name uncultured bacterium. Its description in RNAcentral is "bacterial SSU rRNA". It matches the Rfam family "Bacterial small subunit ribosomal RNA", at positions 340 to 773 of the family's 1533-position model. The record is from RNAcentral.